AUAGAAGGUGAUGCUCCUACCUUAUCUGAAGUGUCCGAGGCUCAAACACUGCAUAAUACUUCCUCUGCUUGUUCUUCCAUCAGGGAUUUCUCGUCACUAUGCUUAUAGGGGCCCACGUCCUGCAGGAAAGAGAUUUAAGCAUGAAAGAGAUUGAAGACUGACUUCCUGCAUGUCCCCACACCACCAUUAAAUCCCAUACGUGCACUGACAGAGAAGCAGAUGCUCAGCCAGUCAGCCACAGGGGAUGAGGACAUGCCUAGAGGAAAGUAGAGGAGAUAGGAUUCACCAACUUCCAGCCCAAAGGAGUACUGACAUUCAUUUGGACCACAUUAUGGCCCCAGGUCUCAGAAGACAGCCUGCUACUCCACAGGCCAGGAAUAGCCCUGUGUCACAGUGCCAGACAAGGGAAGAAACCACAGCCAGUGUCACAGUGGA
Long non-coding RNA from Nannospalax galili (Upper Galilee mountains blind mole rat), 435 nucleotides. RefSeq lists it as uncharacterized. The transcript is spliced from 3 exons. The record is from RefSeq and is a predicted model, not a curated record. NCBI's taxonomy places the organism in Eukaryota, Metazoa, Chordata, Mammalia, Rodentia, Spalacidae.